UACAGAGGUCUCAAGCGUUGUUCGGAUUCAUUGGGCGUAAAGGGUGCGUAGGCGGCGCGGUAAGUCGGAUGUGAAAUCUCGGAGCUUAACUUCGAAACUGCAUUCGAUACUGCCGUGCUUGAGGACUGGAGAGGAGACUGGAAUUUACGGUGUAGCGGUGAAAUGCGUAGAUAUCUGGAGGAACACCGGUGGCGAAGGCGGCAUCCUGGACCGGCAUUGACGCUGAGGCGCGAAAGCCAGGGGAGCAAACGGG
RNAcentral lists this ribosomal RNA (253 nucleotides) under uncultured bacterium. RNAcentral describes it as "partial 16S ribosomal RNA". It matches the Rfam family "Bacterial small subunit ribosomal RNA", at positions 524 to 776 of the family's 1533-position model. The record is from RNAcentral.